Molecule: ribosomal RNA, 136 nt
Filed under: uncultured bacterium
Lineage: Bacteria
Description: partial 16S ribosomal RNA
Rfam family: Bacterial small subunit ribosomal RNA
Source: RNAcentral
UGGGGAAUAUUGCACAAUGGGGGAAACCCUGAUGCAGCGACGCCGCGUGAGCGAAGAAGUAUUUGGUAUGUAAAGCUCUAUCAGCAGGGAAGAUAAUGACGGUACCUGACUAAGAAGCCCCGGCUAACUACGUGCC